This 301-nucleotide ribosomal RNA is filed under the name uncultured bacterium. RNAcentral describes it as "partial 16S ribosomal RNA". It matches the Rfam family "Bacterial small subunit ribosomal RNA", at positions 509 to 807 of the family's 1533-position model. The record is from RNAcentral.
CAGUAGCCGCGGUAAUACGUAGGGUGCGAGCGUUAAUCGGAAUUACUGGGCGUAAAGCGUGCGCAGGCGGUUCGUUAAGACAGAUGUGAAAUCCCCGGGCUUAACCUGGGAACUGCAUUUGUGACUGACGGGCUAGAGUAUGGCAGAGGGGGGUAGAAUUCCACGUGUAGCAGUGAAAUGCGUAGAGAUGUGGAGGAAUACCGAUGGCGAAGGCAGCCCCCUGGGCCAAUACUGACGCUCAUGCACGAAAGCGUGGGGAGCAAACAGGAUUAGAUACCCGCGUAGUCCCUGUCUCUUAUAC